UGACCCCACGGCGCUAGCCGGCCUCGUGGCCCCCCAGGCCUGGCGCCAUACAUCCGGCCACCAACGGCUUCCAACCUCCCCAACAGCACAACCUCUUUGGGGGUUCCAACGGCGGCGCCCCCUU
Molecule: non-coding RNA, 124 nt
Organism: Choloepus hoffmanni (Hoffmann's two-fingered sloth)
Lineage: Eukaryota; Metazoa; Chordata; Mammalia; Pilosa; Megalonychidae
Source: Rfam